UGCGAUCUGGUGUAAGGGUAACACGCCACUCUCAUAAGGUGGAGGAUUCCGGUUCGAAUCUGGAGGUCGCAA
RNAcentral lists this transfer RNA (72 nucleotides) under Sphingobacteriales bacterium 50-39. RNAcentral describes it as "tRNA-Met". It matches the Rfam family "tRNA". Rfam says of the family: Transfer RNA (tRNA) molecules are approximately 80 nucleotides in length. Their secondary structure includes four short double-helical elements and three loops (D, anti-codon, and T loops). Lineage: Bacteria; Pseudomonadati; Bacteroidota; Sphingobacteriia; Sphingobacteriales. RNAcentral also lists the same sequence under 1 other name. The record is from RNAcentral.